Long non-coding RNA from Physella acuta, 663 nucleotides. RefSeq lists it as uncharacterized. NCBI's taxonomy places the organism in Eukaryota, Metazoa, Mollusca, Gastropoda, Physidae. The record is from RefSeq and is a predicted model, not a curated record.
UAUACUCUAUAGCUUAGGUUAUAUACUAUAGACUAUAUAUUAUAUACCAAUAUUGUGCAUAAAACUUAAAGCAUGUAAGCAUACACAAUAAUAAUUAUCAUUAGACCUAUAGUAACUAAGACUCGUACUAUUUAGUACUACUUUAAUAUUACCUUUAAACUAUUAGGCAUAAUGAAAUAAUGAUUAAUGAUUUCAGUGUUUUCCGCACUCGAGAGGAAAGAGGUUGCAGGGAACUUAGAGACUAAUCUUUGCCAACAUACUGGAUUUCAGGUGAUGACAAUAGGAGCAGAUAGACUAUGAGUGUGUGUUUGGCCAUCCAGAUUUCAUAACUACAACUGAUGUUCAAUUACAAGGGAUAUUAAUCAGUCUCUGUAGACUAUACACUGUGCCUAGUUUCAUCCUCAGAGACUGAUGUGUAAGCUUAAAGUAAAGACAUCAAAUCAAAGUAUCAGCUAUCAAGAAGAGAAGAACAUUCAAAAUCAUAUUGUGAUACACAAAUCAAGGAAGUCUAUGACCAGCAUUAUGAUACAGGCCAAGAAAAAGCUGGAUAUUUGAUUGGAAGGGUGGCACAAAAAAGAUGGGUUAUCACUAGGGAAUCAAGCUCGGAAUACAGUUCACUGUUGGGACAUCAAGCCAAAUACCUUUAAACUUAUUUGAAUCAUU